ACAAAACUAAGUGCUUGGAAGGGGAGGUUUCUUUCUAUGGCUGGAAGAAUCUGCUUAAUCAAAUCGGUGUUCACAUCUGUACUGCUACUACUUCUCUUUCUUCAAAGCCCCUGAAAUAGUGUGUGAGAGUAUUAUACGCAUUCAGAGAAGGUUUCUGUGGGGUUGGGGAAGGGAGAACAGACCAAUACCGUGGGUGAGUUGGGACAAUCUAUGCAGACCCUUGGAGGAGGGCGGGCUGGGGAUCAAAGAUGUUAGGAAGUUCAAUGCAGCACUCCUAGCAAAAUGGAAGUGGAGACUCAUGAGUGGAGAAAAAGGUGUAUGGAAAGAUGUUCUGAUGUCGAAGUAUGGGGUGGACAUAGAUCCAAGUGGUAGUAAUCAGAAGAAGCAUUCGUGGUGGUGGAGAGAUCUGUGCAAAAGUUGUGGUGAGGGAGAAGAAGUAAGCUGGUUUCACAGUGCAACUAGUUGGAAGGUGGGUAGUGGGGAAAAAGUGCGGUUCUGGGAGGAUACAUGGGCUGCUAGCCAACCACUACGAGAAACCUUCCCGAGGCUUUUCUCCCUAUCGCUGGAUAAAGGAUCUAAGGUGGCUGAGGUAGGUAUAUGGGAGAACACUGAGUGGAACUGGAUGUUGGGGUGGAGAAGACCCAGGUUUCAGUGGGNNNNNNNNNNNNNNNNNNNNNNNNNNNNNNNNNNNNNNNNNNNNNNNNNNNNNNNNNNNNNNNNNNNNNNNNNNNNNNNNNNNNNNNNNNNNNNNNNNNNUGAGAUGCUACGAUUGAUUGGUAGGGUUAAGCUGAAUAGGGAUGCCGUGGAUAUUCAGACGUGGGAAGGGGAUACGUCUGGAGAGUUCUCAGUCAAAGCUGCGUAUGAACGACUCACGAAUUAUGCAAGGAGUACUCCAAAUACGGUUUUCAAGCAAUUGUGGCAGGUCAAAGCAUCACCUAACGUGUUGGUAACUGCGUGGAGGGCUCUACUUGACAGACUCCCAACUAAAACAAACUUAAUGAGAAGAGGGGUGCUAGUUAACCAUCAGUUGUGUGUGCUGUGCGGCGGUGAGAAUGAAACAACACAACACCUCUUUAUGGAGUGUAGAAUAGCUCAAUGUGUGUGGAAUCGAUGCCUUAGCUGGCUGGGAAUUGCAUUUGUACAACAUAAAGAUCUGCUAAACCACUUUCAACAAUUCAAUUCUCCUUUGUUCAAUUGUAAACAAAAUCUGGUGUGGAAAGGCAUGUGGGCAGCGAUUGUUAGGAGCAUAUGGGAGCAGAGGAACCUCAUUGUCUUCAAGCAAGGGGUGGUGGAUGAUGAUGAAAUUUUUCACAUGGCACAAGUCAAAGCGUGGCUGUGGAUGAAACAUAGGCAACGGGGUUUUGAUUACUCCCUAGCGGAGUGGCAUUCAAACCCAAUUCAGUGUUUAAAGUGCUAACAUGACAGAGAGGGUGCGUAAGGAUGUCACAGGGGAUGCUAAGUUAUAGGAGGGAUGAUCCAGAUGCAACAGGUGGAGGUAGUUUAAGUGGGCAGAAGGCUCAGCAACAGGGUGCAUAUUGGGUUAAAACAGGGACUCACUGGCGAAAGGAGAAAGAGAGGUAUGUGCUCCUCUGUAAGCCAGCAAGAGUAAUGGGUGGUCUAGGAGGACCAUUAUGUUAUGAAUGAAUGAGGGUUCUCUUUUUUCACUGUCUUGGUGGCACUGGGUGCUAAGGGAAGGAAUGCAUGGUAGGUACGUGAGUGUGUACCACGUGUGUUGGAGUUAAGUUCAGUGUACAGGUGUGCAGGACCAUUUUUUUGCACCUAAAGCCACGUGGUGCCAGUAAGGGUCCGGCACAAGGAUGUAAAGCUGGAAUAGCCUGUUAGGAGGUUUUGGGUGAUGUCAUGGGAUGGAUGUUGCAGGUGCGUGCGUGGUGAAAACCAGCAAUGGGGUGCAGCAGUAGCAAUGUAUCUGGUUGCCAGUGGUUGGGUCUGUUGGGUUAGCAUGUGCUGCAGUAUAAGAUACAAUUGGACUGGUUCUCUGGUGCCUAUUUUAUAGGUCUUCUCUCUCUGCGGUGUGUAUUUUUAGCUGUUUUAUCGUUUUAUGUUAUAGUUUUUCUCUGUAUAAGGGUUGGGACACUCCUAAAGUGUCCCAUUUAAUUCAUUAUUCAUUGCUGAUAAAAAAAAAAAACAAAUAUGCAAAUAAGAGAAGGGAAGGCAAGGAAAACCAUAUAAAGAAGAAUGAUUCCUUUGUGAUGAGAUGGGGCCAUUGAAACCAUGUCAAAGAAAAAGCCAGACAAAAACUCUAUAUGCAUGUGUCACCAAUAUUAAAGUGGAUAAAAAAAAUUGUUCUAGUAGUUGCAACAUCCACAUUUGACUCAAACAAAUAGAUUCUCGAUUCUAGAUACUCUUAUCAUAUAUGUCCCAAUUUUUUUUUAACCUUAGAGCUUAAAGGUUUCACACUAAUCACUAUAAAAAAAAUUCACUAAAUAGAAAUUGAUUUAGGGACUUUUUUAUUAUUAUUAUAUAGGUUGAUUUAUAGGACAUUUAGAAAUUGAGGAUUAUUAUUUUUUAAAUUUUAUUUUGUUAUUGAAUAGGUUUCCAACUACUCAUUACCAAAAUUAGUGACUAAGAUUAUAGGUACUUUGAAUUUAUAUUCUAAUUUAACUCUAGUUAUUUUAAUCACAAAUGUUUUAAACUUAGAAACCAUUAACUUAUGUUUUAAAAGUAAUUUUUCAUGUAAGGAGGGUGUUACAUUUAUUUUUAACUAUAUAUUUAUUAGAUUAGCACUUGUAGAGGGCGAUGAUGAAAAAACUAUUGAUUGAAACUACCAAGCUGUGGCACACAUAACUAUUGAUUGAGAAAAAACUUUUUAAACUUUGGUGAAGCAAGACUUCCUAAAGGGUGUCUAGAAGGUCAACAAAAGUAAAAACUAACAUCAUAAUCCAUAAUACUAAAACUAUUUUAGACUACAUCUAAAUGUAAACGUAGAAAAGUUUUUUAAAGAUGAAGAUAAAGAUGAAAGGAGAAAUUUCCUUAACUAAUGGAGUGGGUUCAUAAGUAGCAUAUAUUAUAAUUUUGAUGAUAACAAAUAAUCAUAUUUUAGUUGUCUAAGAAUCAUUUAGUUUGCAAGGGUUUAUAAAAUCUUUUAAAAUUGAAUGAUGGAACAUUCAUCGUUUAGAAAAUGCAAAUAAAGACUAAAUAUAUAUAGAAGUAUUAAGGAAGACAAAUGUUUCUUUUUUGCACAGGAAUUGAGUUGGACUAUAUGUUAUAAAUAAUUGGAGAAAGCAAAUGAGAAUACUUAAUUGGUAUCUCAACUCUAAGUUUUUUUGUUUUUUGGAUGACCUUCAUCAGCUGAUGCUAGUCUUUUUUAGUGUAGAUACACAACAAUUUUAAUACAUUAUCUUAUGGUUAUAGAAUUUUGGUUGGGAUAUAGAUUGAAUGCACCUUUUGUAUAAGCGUUGAAAUAUUCUUCAAGUGCUUCAUGUUCUUUGAUUUAACUAAUUCUUUAUCGAUAAUUUAUUUAUAUAUAUAUAUAUAUAAUUUAGAUGCAUAAUCUACAAAAAGGUAUAGAUGAAACCUUAUAAAAAACACUAAACACAUAAAAGAAUAGACACAAGUCUAAUAAAACACCAUAUACUAAUUCAUUAAGUGUAACCCCGCGCCCUUAUCUCUUUCUCUCUCUCUCUCUCUCUCUCUCAAAUCUCUUCUCUUACUUCUUUGUACUUUUCUUCCUUCAUACCUAAUCUAUUUCAAAAUCUGAUCACACCCUACAGUAGCUGAUGAGCAAUGAUAAUUUCUACAAAAUCAUAUUUUCAAACAAAUUAAGUUUGUGUUUACUCUAAAAUUUCAUUUUUCUUUCAUUUUCCAUAUGAAUUGGUCAUCAAUCUUGGUGGAGUUAGUUGAGAAAAGUUCUCCUCUCAACUUGGUUAAGCUCAUGCUAAAAUUUGAUAAUGUUCGGAUACCUUGUUCUAGGUCUUUAGAUUUUGGAGUGAUUCCUCUAGUGAAGCUAAAAAUUCCUUGAAAUAAGAAAUUAUAGGUAAGGGAAGUUAUUUAUGUUCUUGAUAGAAUCUUAGAAUUGAUUUAGAUAAGAAGUUAAUUUAGUAAGUAAAUAUGUAUGUUAGAUCAUAAAGUUUGUUAAAUUGAUUUUGAUUAUGGCUUGAUGAAUAUACGAGUUUGAAGGAUUUAUAUUGGAUUGAAGGAUGUCUUUUAAUUUGGAUUCAUCAUUUUGGAUGGUUUAGAAGUUAUUUUAUUAGAAUAUUUUUAAAAGAUCUUUGAAAACACAUUUGCUUCUAUGUUGAUGUUGAUUUUAUGAUAUUUUUGCUUAAGUGAGACAUUCUCACUCAAACAAAAACAGCCUUGCACUCAAAUUUGUUUCCAGUCAUGUUUUCGCUCAAGCGAAAUAGCACUGAUAAAUAAACUCUAUUGACCUAAUUCUUACUAAAGCUAUUUUUUUUUUGCUCAAGUGAGGCCUGAUUCUUACUUAAGCUAAAAUAUUGUCACUGAAGCUAAAAAGAACUUCUUUCUUUCUUUUCUUAUUUUCUUUUCAAUAAUUGGAUUAUGUAUGAAAACUUUUGUAAAUGUAAAGUCAAUAUUAGUUUGUAUGUUCAAUUGAUUUGUGAAAUUUUUAAAUGAUAUGUAUUGUAUGAGAAAAAUAAAAUUUGUAAGAAAUUGAGGUCAUACAUUUGGGAUAAUGUAUGAAUCAUUGUUUGAUUUGUGUGAUUAGUAUUGACUUCUAUGUUGUAACAAAGAUCAUCUAGCUUCAUUGAUGGUCUAUGUCACAUAGACUAAGCCAUUAGGUGGUAAGAAGUUGAUGAGGUACUUCAUUACAAACCUUGAUCAUAUGUAGAUACACAAUAUUUGAUGGCUUGAACUUAACAUUUCUCUUAUGUUUGCUUGUAAAUCUAAGACUUGGAUAUUGAAUUAGACGUUAAUUGAUAUUUUACUUAUUGAAUAUCUUUAAUGUAUAGAUCCAUAUAUAUGGUUUAUAUGAAUGUUGUAUAUUGAUAUUAAAAUGUAAUUAGAUUGUGGAUGAUACAUAGAUUUUGUAUGUUUUUAUGUUUGAUUGAGAAAAAUAAAUAAAAACAUGGAUUAUUUAUGGAUUACUAAUUUAAUUGUUUCUUUUUAUAUAUAUUUUGUAUGUUAGAAAUUUAUUUCAAUAACUUAUCCUUACAUGUAUUUGUGUGUAUUAUAAAUUGUGAUGAUUGUACUAUGUACAUUAGUAAAAAUAUAUAUUUACCGGUACACGAAUGACAUUGAAAAGAAAUAAAGAUUUUAUUUUGAUGUAUAUAUAUAUAUAUAUAUAUAUGAUGUGAAUUAUUAAGUUUAUAUUUUGAACUACUAAAAGAUUUAUAUAAAUCCAUUAGAAUUUAUGUAAUAGUGUAAAGGAUAUUUUUGAUGGAAAAAACACGUGGAAGCAACAUAUAUAAUCACGAAUCAACUGCAGAAAAUAAACAACACAAAUUUAACGUGGUUCGGUCGUCAACUGCAAUCUACAUCCACACAGACAACUAUUAGAUUUUCAUUUUGUCCUGUUGCACACCGAUUACAAGUACAAUGAUCUCUUUAAAUAAAAAUUAUAAAAGGGAUACAAUGAUUAAGUUUACUCACUAAACAUGCUGUCUAGCCUGAUGAAGUAGAAAUAUGAAUAUUUGUUGGCUUAAGAAGUUAGGUAAGAAGAAGCUCUCAGCUCAAGAAGCAUUAUCAUGGUUGAAGUAGUCUAACAAAUACAGUAGUGGAGAGUGUUGUUGGCAACGAAGAUGGUCAAUAUUCAUGUUAUUGGAAGAACAUGAUGAGCAGACAAAGGGAUAGCGACAAUUCGUGCCAGCAAAUAUCUCUUUCUUCACCAUCAUUAUUUGUGGCUUUGGAAAAACUUCUCUUCAAUUUUUUCUUUCUCCUCGGAUAAUGUAUAGUCUAUAAUAUAAUAUACAAAUAUACCUUUCAAUUAUUAUCUUCUUAAUAUUAAUAUACUAUAUAUCACUAUGUAAUCAUCAUUAUAAUCAACAAUACAUUAUGAAAUAUUAAAUUUAAUUUUGUACUUUUAGAAGUCUAAAUUAAAAUAUUUUUUUUUUAUAAUAUAUCAUUAAUGUUAAAUAAUACUACAAAAAAUAAUUAAAUAAAAAUUACUUUUAAAGAAUAAAAUAAUUAAUUAUUACAUUAACUAAAUUAAAUAUUAUUUUUGUAACUAUUUAAUGACUAAAACUUUCUAAAUACAAUUUAAAGACUAUUUAUUAAUAAUAAAAAUUAUUCUAAAUAUUAAUAAUAUAUUAUUUGAUUUCAUCAAUAUAAUAAUUAAUUAUUUUUUAUUUUUAAAACUAGUUUUUAUUGAAUAAUAUUUUAAGAUAGCUAGCUGAUUAAUUUUAAUUAAGAACCUUCACUACUGAAUCUCUCUAAAAACGUUGUUUAACAAAUCAAAUCCAACAUAAAUCAUCAUCAGACAACCAACUUGUUAAUAUUAAAACCAUUGUAUUCUAAUUCCAUGGCAAUCUUAAUUUAGUUCACGUGCCAAACUAAUGAUACUUUAAAAUAUCCCAAUACUACUGAGAAUCAGUUCAUACCUAAAUAAAUAUGAAGAAAUUUUUUUCACUUUAUUUUAUUUUCCACUCUAUACAAUCAAAUAUCAUUUCAGAAAUUUUAUUAUUCUUGCUUCACUAAAAAAAAUCAUUAAAUAAAAAUUAAAUUAAAAAUUAUUUUAAAGAUUAAAAAAAUUAUUGAUUUCUAAAUUAGUUUUUAUUAUGAUUAAAUGGUUUCUAAAUUAGUAUUUAAUUAACUAUCAAAAUUUUAAUUACUAAUUAUUUAGAUUCUAAAUAUGAUAAGAAAACAUAGUUAAUUAAAUACUAAUUUAGAAAUCAACAAUUUUAUUAGUUUUCAAAAUAAUUUUUAAUUUAAUCAUUAUAAAAACUAACUAUUUUUUAUUUUUAAAAUUAAUUUUUAAUAAAUGAUUUAGUGUUUCUUCUUCAUUUCUUCCUCUCAAAACUUUACUCUUCGAGAACUAAUAUAUGCAAAAAUUUAUCAAACAUGUACAAAAACAAAAAUAUCAAAGAAAACCUGCAGAGGUAGUAAUUUAUUAUUUGCAAUCUGACAAGGAAUUAUUCUGAAGCAGAUUUGAUAAAUUGAGAGCACAGAUGAUAUCAUAAUACACAGACAGUAGCAGAACAACACAAUCGAAGUAUGAAUCUAGCAGAUAACAAGACAGGGAAACUAAAUUAGACUAAACAGCUGAGAUUCCAAGACAACCUUAAAACAUGAAAUGGAUCUUUGAAGAUGGAAACAACCUCAAAACAAGAAAUGGAAGUGGAACAUGUUCUUAGCAGUUCCUGGUGUAAUCAGCACAGUUUUUGUUAGGGCCACCACCGUUUUUUGAUGGCACGCAGCUGCGGUAACCUUUAAUUAUUGGACAAUCUACAGCUUUGUUGUUUUUGUUGCCUGUUUUGCCUGACUGAGAUUGGCUCACAUCGUAGAGCAUUCUUGAUGUAUGAGACACAAAUAAGAAUUCUGAUUCCAAAUCGUUGCCAAUGAGGCAAUCCUCUGUGAGACAGUUGGUGGCGUUGACAAGGUUGUGGUGGAUGAGAAGGAUGAGGAGCACAAGGGAGAGACCCUUCAUCAUCUUUUCGGAACUGAUUUCUCACUCAGCAAACAAGGUUAUGGUUCAGAGUGAAUACCCUUGUCGGUUUUGUACUGUUUUAUGCUAAAAUAAUUGAGGAAUCUUCUUUAACAUAAAGUUCACAGUCCAUUUAAUGUUGUGUUUCGAUUUGACAAGAAAAAGAAAAAAAAUUAAAAUAAGUGAAAAGUGAAUUUUAUUUUUGGAUUAUUGGAAAGAAAUAAAGAAUGAGUAGAAUGGAAGAUAAUUUUUUUUAUAAAAGUAUUUAUGUUACGUAUAAUAUGCAAUUUGAUAUCUCAGUUAGACUGAUAUUUCAAGUAAUAACAAUCAUCUGUCAUCAUAUAAAAAGUGCAUUAUUAAAAAAAAUACAAAAAAAUUUGAAGACUAAAACAAAACUCAUAUGUUAACAAAAACAAUACAUAGGUAAACUAUACCUAUUCAUAAAGAAUUUUAAGAACAUACUAGAUGAAAACCUAUUAUAUAAAUGAAACAAUUUUCUAUGAAUAAAUCCUAAAUUAGCCAACUUCUUAGCACACACAUUCUCUUCACGAAAAAAAUUUGAGUAACCCUAAAUUUGAUUUUUCUACAGUAAUUAAGACAAGUAUUUCAUCGAUUAUGAAUCAUCCACGGAACAUUAGUCCAAGCACUAAACGCAGCACAAACCAAUACAAAAUCACAUUUAAACUAGACAUUAGUAAGUCCCAUUUCUGAGCUUCCUCCAUAACAUGUAUAACACCAUAAAACUCAGCAAUUAUAAUGGUUUGAACUUUAAGAAACUCAGAGAAAGGACCAAUAAACUUCCCCAUAUUCCCACGGAAAAUACUUUCACAAGUAGUAAGACUAGGAUAUUCCUUAGCAACCCCAUCGGUGUUAAUUUUAACGCAGCCUGGUAAAGGAAACUCCCAUCUAACAGGAAGAAGACGAAGAACUUUACCAGGACGAGUAUUAAUACCAAAAAACUUAAUCACGUUGAAAUCCAAUAUAUCAUUCUUCAUUGAAGCUUUAGACAAAUUUCAGACUAGACAAGUUAGAUAUUUAAUUACCGAAAUAGCCUUAGAAACAUCAAUCUUAUAUCGAAAUUUAACAUAAUUUCCCAUAUGACAUAUCAUUUAAAUAGAAAAAGUUAUCACAAGCUUAAUAAGAUAAAUUUAAUUAUUAUUAUUUAUUUUUCUGUUUAUUAUUUCAAUAGUUUAAUUAUUUAUUGUUAUAAUGAAAAUCAUAAAUGUUAAUAAAAUGUUUAUGUAAAUAAUUCAUUAUCUAAUAAAUUAUUAAUAACUUAAUCACUACAAAUUUACAUUUGUUUAUGUUGAUAAUUAAAUCUGGUUCAGUAGAAGGCUGCUAUAGAAAAAUGGAUUGAAAUUUUGGUCUAUUCUUCUAACUUUUUUUUAAAAGUUGUUUUUUAAAAUUUUAUAUUUUAAAAAUUGUUUAUAUAUAUAUAUAUAUACCAAAACAUAUUUAAUUAUAUAAAUACCUUUUAAAUUUUUUAUUGAUUAAUCAAUGUCUUUAUUUGAAUGAAAUAAAAUAAUGAUUACUUUUACAUAUUAAAUUAGUCUAUUAUAAAUAAUAAUUGGAACUUACACUACAAGAAAAUCAUCAAAUAGAAAUCAAUUUUUAGAUACCAAAAUAAUUAGUUGCAAUAGUAACUAAAUUAGAGACCAUUUUAGAAACUAAAACAAAAAUUAGUUUCUAAAUUAAUUUUUAUUAUUGUUAAAUAAUUUUUAAAUUGGUAUCUAAUUAGCAAUACCAAUUAUUUAGUUUCUAAAACCUUUGUUGCUAAUUAGAUACCAAUUUAUAAACUAUUUAACAAUAAUAGAAACUAAUUUAGAAACCAAUCUUUGUUUUAGUUUCCAAAAAUGGUCUCUAAUUUAGUUACUAUUGUAACUAAUUAUUUUGAUCUCUAAAAAUUGGUUUCUAUUUCAUGAUUUUCUUGUAGUGUUAAUUUGUAAGAUUAAUAAUUGAAGUUAUUUUCCUUCAUUAAAUAAUAUAAUAAAAAAUUAUAUUUUAAAUUAUUUUAUUUUAAUUUUAAUUUAAAAAAGAAGACUAACAUGUGAGUUCAUUUUGUACUCUCCCUUUUACAAGUUUUAUUUUACAAAAUUAUAUUUAAUCAACAGUCUCCUAAUUCAUGAGUAAUACUUUCAAGAGGACAGUAAAAUUUUAUGCUAUUUAGUUAAUAUUUUUAUUAACUUAUAAAAGGUUAUUGAUAUUUUAAAGUAUACCAAUUUUGAUGAAUUGACUUUUUAAAAAUAUUUAAUGGAUUUAAAAGAAUUAUUUUAUUGUUACUUUUCUAUUUUUUCUUUCAUAUUUUUACAUAACGUACUCUCUCUACGUUUUAAAAAUUAUAUAGAUAUUCAUGUUCACAACUUUAUUUAUGAAAAAUGCCACUAUAAGCCUAUUAUUUAAGUAGAUAAUAAAGACUAAAAUUUGAUUGAACAUAAUUUUUUUAAAUAAAUAUAUUUUGUUUAGUGUAUUGAGAUUAAUGAAAUAUGUCUUGUCUUUGUCUCCUUGGAAAUGGAAUAAAAUUAAAUAGAAAAUAUUAAAUUAUUGCUUAAGAAGAAAAAUACAAAGGAUAAAUUUUGUUUUUUUAUUCAUAAAAAAAUAAUUCUCUUCCAAAUUCAAACAAAUGUUAAGGGGUGUUUUUUUUUAAUAAAAAUAAGAGUUAAAUAUUUAUUAAAAUAUAGUUAAAAAAUAUUUUAAAAUAUAAUAAAAAUAAUAAUUUUAUAUAAUUAUACAAAUAUUUUUAUAUUACUUUUUUUAUUUAUUUAAAUUCAUUUUUUACUCAUUGAAAUAAAGAUAAAUUUUCAUUUGCUUUUUAUCUACUUAAUCUCUUUUAUUAUGUUUUUCUCUUUUUCUAUUUUCUUUAAUUUUAUUUAUUGAAAAUCCUACAUCAUUUAAAAAUAAAACUAAUUUAUAAUAUAUUAUUAAAUACAAAUUUUAAUUUAUAAAUUAAUUAAGAUUAAGUUAAGUUUAACCUAUUCCCUCUUAAUAUAUAAAUAAGUAUUAAGAUGAAACUUAUGCAAAGUAAAAGUGCAUCUAAUAUUAAAUGAAGAUAAGUUAAGUUUAUGAAAUACUUCACUUAGAAAAAAAGGGAUAAAUAACGUGUUCUCUUAUUGUUUUUACAUAUUUAAGUCUUAAAUAUGUAACAAAGUACACAUAAGAAAAUCAAUCAAGAUUUCUGUAAAAUAAAGUUAAAAUUAUAUAUACUUCACAUGUGUAUCUUGGAAUUUUAGAGACACUUAUUUUAGUUAUUUUAUUUAAUUAAUUUAGGAGAGUUGACUUUACGCAAAGAUCUUUAAACUCUAUUUCUAUCGUGCUAAUUUUUUAUAUUAUUUUUCAUAUAACCAAGAGAUAAAUAUUAUUUUAUUUUUAUUGCCCAGAUUUUUUAAUAUUGGUGGCUCACAUGUUAGCACAAGUCUAUUCGAAAAAGCUUUCUACUUAAAUUUUGUUUGCUCUUCUUAAACAAUUUUGAAAGGAAUAAUCACUGAAAACGAAAUAACUAGCAGUUUUAUAGUGUAUGGUUUGGAAAAAUCUAAAUAACCUUUAAAAAUAUCAUUUUUAAAUAUAUAAAAAAACAUGGACGAUUAAAUUAUUUUAAAAAAGAAUCAAAAUAGUUUUCAUCUUCUUCCACUCUAGCAAUUAAAUAUGAAUAUUGUUAAACAUCCUUUAUAUAUAUAUAUAUAUAUAAUUCCUACUUAUAUAGAAAAAAUUAGAUAUAAAUUAUUUCUUAAACCCCUUAGAUUAAAAAAAACUUUUAAAAUUAUUCUUAGAAUAAUUUGGUUGAUGGGAGAUUAGGAAGUUUCUUUGUUGUUUAUUCAUACAAAUUAAAGAGAUUAAGGAGUUUUUUUGUUGUUUAUCCAUGUCUUCAUUUAAUUUGAUAAAAACUAAUCAAUAGGAAACAUGUAGGGACUUGAUUGUGAGUUGCCUUAAAAAAUGAUGAUAUUCCAGCUGUUUUUUUUAUAAUUUUCUGUGACAUUUUUUUUUCCUUUUUCUUAAAAUUUUCAUAAGCCUUUCAUUCUAUAUCAAAGUGGUAAGACCUAAUUCAUUAUUACUUAGUUUAACUAUAAUGUUUCUUUAAUACAAUAUAUGAAUUAAAUAGUAAUUAACUUAUUUAAUUAUUUUGUGUGUGUUAUUACUCUAUUUUAUAUCAUUAAUGGUUUGAAAGUACUUAAAAACAUAUUAAUAUAUGCAUUCAUCAAUAUUAUUAAAAUAUACUUCUAAAAUUAAUUUCUUACUACAUAAAUUAAAACAUCCUUAUAACGGCCAUAAAUACAACUCUUAAUGCAGUUCUAAAUUUGAUUCAAUAAAAUAAUAUAAUUAAAAGUUAUAAUAUCCAGUAUUUUUUUUUUAAAUUUGGCGAAUAUUCUCUAAAAAUUAUAAUCUGAAUUAUAUUGGGAUUCAAAUUCGGGAAAAUUUUGUUGAAUGACAUUUUUGUUUUUCACAAAAUUCUUGUCAGUGGUGUUCUCGAACGGAGUUUGGGACUCAGAGAAUUAUUGGUAUCGACAGUCUUCUAGUACCUAUUAGUCGAUCACUUCAGUCUUCAGCCUUCUUUCCUCCAGGCUCCUUCCUUCCUUCUCCCUCUACCUCUCGGUGGUCCGGUAACAUAGACUUGGAUGAUACCUGCAGAAGACACUCCGACAAUCAAGUCAACAAAGGUGUCAACACUUAGUUGUUAGAGUACUGUAGAUAAUGAUGUACCUGAUUCUUGGAAUUUGCGUUAUUUAUAUUACCUUAAUGGGACUUACUCGUUGGGCCGGAUUAGGGACUUGAAUCGCGCUUAGGCCUUUAGCUCCUAAUCGCGGGUUAGUUUUGCUAACCUGGCUCAUUAUGUUUGGUGUCGACCAGCUCAUCAUCAGGCACACGUGUAGACUUAGUCAUGAGGGCCGAGUCAUGGUGUCGUGAGAUCGGUCGGCCCAGAAGUGAAGAGAUGAUUGGGUCUGCCGUCCGGACCAUACCGAUACACUUGCCCCCCAGACUCGAGGAUUGGUCAAGUCGAAGAGUCUAAAAAGCGGCGGUCGGUUCCUAUAGACUCGGAAUGACGGUUAGGCUUCCCGAUGGGUGACAUGACGUGUGACGGCGUCUGAGCGGGUGACAUGAUGUGAAUUUAUGAGGGUUUUUUGGCGCCAAGUGACGUGAGUCGUUGGAGAUCCAACGGUUGGGAGAGUUGUAACUCUUCGUCUCCUGAGACUCUUUCGGGCUAUAAAUAGGGCCUUAACAGUGUUGAGACCUCAUGCUUUCAUCCUGAACCUUGCUCCGACACCCAAAUGUCUCUCGUCUUCGUGUGUUGCGUCUAUCUCCCUUCCAAAAGUUAUGAUGUCUUCUCUGUCUCGUCCUACUUCUUCUUCUUCAGCUGCCCCUUCUCCUUUCCCCAUGCCCCCUACGUCUUCGUCUGACCUGUCGUCCUCCUCUGCUUCCUCUACGACUGAAGUUAUGUCGAUCGAGCAGUCCAAACCUUGCCCCCUGUGGAGGAAACAAUAAGGGGUGAUGAUCUGAAAGGUUCCUCUGACUGGUUGAGUACCCCUGAGAAGGCGCAUCCCCUUUAGGGGUCUGCCUGUGUGGAUCCCAAAGUGUUUGGGAUUGUGUUUGACUUUCAGACCAAAGCCUCCAUUUCUAAUUUUUUGAAGAAGGUUCAUGUCUUGAAAGCGGACGCUAGGGCUUCUUUUAUGAGCUUUGGCCAUUGUGAGCUGACCGAUCGUGUCUAUCGGGAACAAUCAUCUACCGAACCCCCUUUCUUCUUCAUGUAUACCUGUCUUUUUUUUGACUUACACGUUUUCUUCCAUUUGAUGAGUUUACGAUGGACAUCCUUCAAGCGCUCAACAUAGCUCCAAUUAGUUGCACCCAAACACGUGGGCUUCUCUUCAAGCUUUUCGCCUAUAUGUAAUCUUUUUCGUUUGCGUCCCUCUCCUUCUUGCUUCUUUCAUUUCUACACUUUUCAUUCGUCCGACCCUGUCAGUUUGCACUUGUUGGUCAGUCGGUCGGGCAAUGUUUUGUUCAAAGCCUUCACGGCUUAUAAAAACUUCAAUGAGAGAUUCUUCAAAGUAUACGUGGAGCCUGAGGGUAUGCCACAUUUUUUUGACGAAGCCGAUCGGUCAAGGUUUCCUAAGAUUAGGAGCCCAACGAAAAUCAAGGACUGGCCUCAUCCAACCAACCCGAGUGUCGAUGAGGGAGGAAAUUUUUCCCCUCUCUGAUAACCUUCCAAGAAAACUCCCCGCGCGACAGUUGAUGUCUUUGUACGCUGUCCCAACCACUGGGUGGCAUUUAAGGGUAUGUUAAUUUGUUAGACCUUCGGCCGAACUUUUGAAUUUUAACUAAUGUUUUUUAUUUUUAAUGCAGAAGUGAUGAACAUAGAGGUUCUUCAAGCGAGCGGUGUGCUAAAAUCCUUUAAGGACUGUGCUGCUGAGAGGAGGGGUCAUUCGAGCAUUGAUCUCUUGCGACUGGUGGCCCGGGCAGGACCAUUCCAACAAAAUCCAAAGAAGAGGCAGCGCGAGAGAGGAACACUACACGAAAGAAUUGUUCGUCGGGCAUGAUGCCCGUGUCUCCUACACAUCGCACACUCUUUGAGGUUGAUUCGUCGCCGACUGAUCCCAACUGCCAUUGUGAUGUCGAUGGAUGCCGCUCUGAAGUCACCCCUUUCAGUGCUAGGGGUGACUUACGUUUUUCAAGUGGGGUGAGGGUGGAGCUUCACACCAAUACUGAAGAAAUAAUCCGGGUGGGACAGAGGAUGACUUGAUCCAAGGCGGGGUCGAGAUGAUAUGUCGGGGGUUGGUGCUGACCUGCCUUGGGGAAAACAUCCGGGGCCGCUGGGUGGAAGAGAUCUCGCACCUGGAGCACAAGCUGUUCGAGGCUUCGAGCAACUUGAGGCAGGCUGUUGACGCCAACACAACUUAUGAGAGAAAGCUGGCGGAGCAUGCUGCCGGAAGGGAGCUUGAAGCGGCUCAGAUUACCGAGCUCGAGCGGCUGGAGCUCGUGAGGGCACUUGAAAUUGGCCAACUGAAAAGGGCCUUGGAGGAGGCCGACCACAAGAUGUCGUCCAUGGAGGACGACAUGUCUUCCUUGAAGAAGGAGAAAGAAGCAGUCGAUGUGGAGCUGGACAAGACCAUCAACAAAACAAUGACUUUGAUUAAUCAAAGUUUUUCCUAGAUGUCCAACAUGCUCAUGUUCUGUAUAACGACCCUCCUCCUUCCGAUGAAUUCGACCCAGAUAUGAAUGUCUUCGACGGUCAGAUUUUUCCGAUGGAGGGGGUUUAGAAGUUGCAGAACACGGCUGAGCCAGUUCCGAGCCAGUGCUCAUUCGGUCGGGCUGUGGCCACUUCUUCUUCUCCUUUAAGGCAAGGGUGUGGCCUUCUCCUUUGUUCUUAUCAAUGAAAUCAAUUGUUUUUGCUUUCAAAAUUUUCACAAUUUAUUUUAAUCAGUCGGUCAUAACGUAUUUGAAUAAUUAAAAUUGAAUAACGAUCGACGUAUCUUAAUUGAAUAACGAAAAUUGAAUAAGUUAAACAAACAAACGGUGUGUCACGUUAUUGAAGCGAGUUUCGUAGUAGGCGAUGUCGGGAGGGUAUGCCAAUUAAGGCUUCAUCCUGAAUGAACCGUGUGCUUGGGGUAUCAGGAGGGUAUGCCGGUUAAGGCUUCAUCCUGGCCGAACCGCGUGCUUGGGUAUUAGAAGGAUAUGCCAGUUAAGGCUUCGUCCAGGCCGAUCCUUGCAUCUAAUGUGUCGGGAUGGUAUGUUGGUUAAGGCUUCGUUCUGGUCGACACUUGCGUUAUCUAGUGAUUCAAUAAAGAACUUCAUUCUUAUACACCAAAGCUGAUAAUUUUUACCACAAAACAGAGGUGGUUUAUUCAAAGAAGCACCUUCCCCCAAAACAAAACUAACCACUGCAUCCCAGAUUCCCAUGUCAAUAGACUCCAUAAAGAUCUUCAUCCUGAUUUUCCAGAAAGCAUAGUUAACACCACCAAACAUAGGGGGUCUAUUAAUGGAUGCACCUUCAGCAAAAGGCAUUUUAAACUCAGACAUCAUGCAUACACUUGAGCAAAAUACAAGCCCUAGCUCUGAUACCAAUUGUUGGGUCUAUUAGUGUCUAAGUUCAAGAGGGGAGGGGUGAAUUGAGCUUAUAAAAUUUUCGCAAGAACACACAAUUUUCAGUAUUCCAGAGGCAAAAAGAACAGAUUGUUUUUACAUGAAACAGAUUGAUUCUUCAGAGCAGUCUUGCACAAUUUGAAUUUGUUCAGCUUAGAAUUGUGAUUAGAAAGCAUUAACACAUUAGGAAGAACAAUUUUUAUUAAACCCAGAAUUAACAGAUUCAAUUUCAAAAGAACAGAUUUAGUUCUUGACAGAAUUAAACAAAACCAGAAACGAGUGCAGAGAUAAGAAGAAAAGGCACACAAGUUUUUAUACUGGUUCACUCAUACAGAGCUACAUCCAGUCUCACCUUACCCCAAGGUGGAAUUCACUAAAAACAGUACCAAUUUACUUACAAACACAACAGUUCUUGAACCCUACAAGAACCACACAAUCAAUGCUGAAAAACCCUAUUUCAGCACACCUUGCACUCCAAGAAACCCUAUCAAGGAGUGACUAACACUUACACCUUUACAAACAAGAAUAAAGGAAGGACUACACCUGAAAAGAAGAUGCAAGAACUCAAACCCAGUAGUUCACUUUGCUGCAGAAACUGCACCAGCACCUUCACCAAGAUCAAAGGUUUCCUAGAACAAGCACACUUGAAAAUCCCUUUGGAAAACCUUUUACAAAUCUUUCUCAAUCCUUCUUCUCACAUAGAAAGUGUUUAAUCUCUGUCAAAAACGUGAUUGCUCAGCUUCCUUUCAUGUGAGAGAGACUUUUCUUUAUAAAGAAACCAGUUUCUAACUUCUUUUCAAAAAACAGUUGAAAAGCAGUUAUGAAAACAACAUAUUUAUUUUUGAACUCAACAGGUUUAUUUUGUGAAAAAAACCGCCAACUCAGCUAACUGAAAUAACUGUCUAAGUUGUACCUUUGGUGCCCUAACUGAAUUUUAGAAAGGCCUUUUCACAGAGAAGAAAUGAACAGAUUCUUUCUCAAUGAAACAGAUUUAUUUUUGUACUUGAUUUAAAAUCCUUUAAGAGCACUUUUAAAAGCUUUUCAAAAAUCUUUUAACAGAGAAGAAAUAAACAGAUUCUUUCUCCAUGAAACAGAUUUAUUUUUGUACUGAUGUAAAACUUUUAAGAUUACUUUCAAAAGCUUUUCUGAGCAGACGACGAUCGUAGAUGGCAAUGCUCCACAUGAUCGCCGGUCAGUGGUCAGCAAAGCAGUCAAAAAACGAUGCAUGAUCGCCGGUCGGUGGUCAGUAUAGCUACUUGAAAAGGCGGUGCCUGAUUGCCGGUCGGUGGUCAGCAUAGCUACUUGAAAAGGCGAUGCCUGAUCGCCGGUCGGUGGUCAGCAUAGCUACUUGAAAAGGCGGUGCCUGAUCGCCGGUCGGUUUGAGGCAGAACACUUUCAAAAGCUUUUCAAAAAACCAUUUGACCACAUCAUGUGCUUGAUCUAGACUUGGUUAGGCAUCUAGGAUGGGUUAUACAGCAAAUGGCAACCUUCCACAUUACAAGCCUAAUUACAAACCAAUCUAAAAACCUAUUACAAUCUUCAAAGUACCCAAGCUAGUUUCUUCAUCAAACACACAUCAAGCCUUGGUAGGGAAGAAGCUUCCUCCAGCUUCAACAAUCUCCCCUUGUUUGAUGGAGACAAAUUUCCUUUGCUUUGCACAGCUUUGAAGAAAGAUCAUGACCAAACCUGUACAGUACUCUAUGAAUAUCAACUGCAGAACCUGUACCAGACUAUUCUUCUAUUCUUCUCCCCCUUUGGAUUCAUCAAACAGAAUGGGAGCACAAGAGACCAAAGAGAUCAUAGCCAUUCAUAACAGUUCAAAUAAAAACAACAUAGAGGUCUAUUACAAACCACAAAUCAACUAAAAACCAAUGCAAAAUAAAGACAAAACAGAUUAAUCCCAAAUUGUUCAACAACAUAUAAAAGAUGAAGAUUUAAAAAUAGGAUCACUUGUUGUUGUAAUAAAGCUCAGCUAGCUGCACUUGAACUCCUUCAAGUUGGUCAUCCAAGUGUUGAAACCUAGCGUAGGUCAUGUCAUAGUAUGCCUUCUGCUCAUAGCUGAGUGUGUCCAGCCUGCUUAGCACUUGUCUUUCAAACAUUGACAGAGGUUCACCUCUGUACUCAGGUGCCUCAUAUGCAACCAUUGCAUUUUGACUUGUUGCAGCAACAUCUUCAUCCAUGUGUUGCACACCAUCAGCAUUUGCUUCUCCUUCAUUUCCUUGAGGAGCCGCUUCUUGUUCAGCCCUCUGUCCAGCAUUUCUUCUGAAAACCCAGCCAUCUUCUUCCUUAUAGAAUCCCAUUUUCAUGAGGGUGGAGUUAUCUAUUUCACUUGCAGCUUUAAUAGUGUCAUUCCUUUCAUUGGUAGUAUCCACUUUAAAAUGAUCAAUUAGUUUUGACACAAAUAUUGCAUAGGGAAGACGAUAAUCAGGAAGCCUUGCAGAUUUCAUCAUAUGUUCAACCAUAGUGCUUACCCAAUUUACCUUAAGCUGGUUCAUGAUACAGUACAACAAUAUCAAGUCUUCCUCAUUAAGAACAGCAUGAUUGCUUCCUCGAGGGGUGAGCUGCCAAGCAAUUAUAUGAGCUAAGAGUCUAGGAAUCAAAGUUAGGUUACUUGCGUGAUACCUAGCUACUGGUUCAGUAGGAUUCCUCACACAACUUCUAUAAAACUGCAGCUUAUUGAACCCUUGAAUCCCAGCAGUGUUUCCUUUGUUUACUUUUAGCCCUGAGUAUUUGAUUCCACCUAUACUGCUCCAGAUUUCCCUAGUGAUCUUCAGCUUCACUCCUUUCACAUGGGAAACCAGAUUUUGACCAUCUUGUUCAAGGUUGCAGUAAAACACUUUCACAAGGUCUGGAUAAACAUUUCCAGUCAUCUCCAGAAAUCCUUUCAGCUUUUGAUGCUUGAGCAAGUCUUUGGCUUCUAUCAAAUUCUCCUCUUUCAGCCACGAGAACUCAAGCAUUUUGGGUACAUUGAUUUGCUUUCUGCCAGUCUCAUGUAUGAACCUUGUCAUUCCCUCUGAAUCUCCAGCAAACCAGUUUUCCAGAAUGCCUUGGUUGCUUUGAGAUUGCUCCUUGGAUUUCUUCUUUCUAUGUGAAGAUGAUGCCAUGCUUAAUCUGCUGGUAUUUGCACCUGGACAGCUUGGUAAAGAGAUGAGAAGAUGUGAAAGUAAUUGUUCAAACACCAGGAUUAUAUAGGAUUUAAGCCAGUUUUUGAAAGUCACGGGUUUUAAAUGCAAUAAAAUCAGACUCAAAUCAGAUUCUAUUCUAUGCAGUUUUGAAAGAAGCAAGAAUAUAUUGGAAACAUGUUUCAGCUUAUCAGGUCAAAUCUGUUACAUAAUCAGAGAUAUUAAAUCAGUUAGGAUAUUCACACAUGAAUGUCAUAAAACCAAUGGUCAAUAACCAUAAAAGCAGUCAAUGGUCAAAGAUCAUCAAUUCUGAAACUAAAGCGAAACAACACGUUAAAGCGCAAGAUAACAGAUUUAAAAUAUCAGAUAUGCUAUGGAUUUUAUUCCAAUGGUGCAGCAGGUUCAGGUGUGAGUUCACAUAAGAAUAUCUUGAAACCUGAUUUUGGCACAUCAAAUCUGUUGCAUCUACACAAAAUCCAAUUAGUUAGGAUACCCACACAUUAAUUGGCAUAGACCUGCUGGUCAAUAACCGUAAAAGCAGUCAACCAUAAAGUGGGAGAGAGAAAAGUAAAUCUUUCUCUUUCCUAGUCACAGUUGUAAUUUCUGAAACAGAGAACAAACAUGUUAAAAUAUAAAACAACAGAUUGAAAUUUUCNNNNNNNNNNNNNNNNNNNNNNNNNNNNNNNNNNNNNNNNNNNNNNNNNNNNNNNNNNNNNNNNNNNNNNNNNNNNNNNNNNNNNNNNNNNNNNNNNNNNACCCAAUUCAUUUAGAAGAAAGUAAAACCUGUCUUUAGCAAGUGGUUUAGUGAAUAGGUCAGCUAAUUGAAGUUCAGUACCAAUGAAUUUUAUAUCACAAGUUCCAUUAGCUAUAUGUUCUCUUAGAAAGUGAUGUCUAAUUUCAAUGUGUUUAGUCCUUGAGUGCAUGACAGGAUUCUUAAACAGAUUUAUGGCACUAGUAUUAUCACAAUUUAUAGGUAUGUUAUUUAACAGAAUUCCAAAAUCACUUAGCUGCUGCCUUAGCCAUAAGGUUUGAGCACAACAACUUCCAGCAGCUAUGUAUUCUGCCUCUGCUGUGGAGAGAGCAACACACGCUUGUUUCUUGCAAUGCCAAGAGAUUAGACUUGAUCCAAGCAUGUGACAAGUUCCACUUGUGCUUUUCCUAUCAACCUUACAACCUGCAAAGUCAGAAUCUGAAAAACCAGUUAAAUCUAAAGAUACCUUGUUAGGAUACCAUAAUCCAACAUCCUUAGAUCCUUGCAAAUAUUUCAGAAUUCUCUUUGCUGCGUUGUAGUGUGAUUCCUUUGGAUUAGAUUGAUAUCUAGCACAUAAGCACACAACAAACAUAAUGUCAGGCCUGCUGGCAGUUAAGUAUAACAAGGAACCAAUUAAACCCCUAUACUUGGUUUGAUCCACUGAUUUUCCUGCAGAAUCUUGAUCUAGCUGACAGCUAGUUGCAAUUGGAGUGCUGAUUGCUUUACAUUGAUCCAUAUCAAACCUCUUGAGCAGCUCCUUGCAGUAUUUUUCUUGGUUUAUGAAAAUUCCAUCCUUGAGUUGCUUAACUUGUAGUCCANNNNNNNNNNNNNNNNNNNNNNNNNNNNNNNNNNNNNNNNNNNNNNNNNNNNNNNNNNNNNNNNNNNNNNNNNNNNNNNNNNNNNNNNNNNNNNNNNNNNNNNNNNNNNNNNNNNNNNNNNNNNNNNNNNNNNNNNNNNNNNNNNNNNNNNNNNNNNNNNNNNNNNNNNNNNNNNNNNNNNNNNNNNNNNNNNNNNNNNNNNNNNNNNNNNNNNNNNNNNNNNNNNNNNNNNNNNNNNNNNNNNNNNNNNNNNNNNNNNNNNNNNNNNNNNNNNNNNGUUCUGGAUUUUUGUGGUCUUCAAACCCUGGAGGCUGAGAUACAAACACCUCUUCAUUGAUGUAGCCAUUUAGGAAUGCACUCUUGACAUCCAUUUGAAACAGCUUGAAACCUUGUAUGCUGGAAAAUGCUAGAAGUAAUCUGACAGCUUCAAGACGUGCUACUGGUGCAUAGGUUUCACCAAAAUCAAUACCUUCUUCUUGAUUAUAACCUUUAGCAACCAGCCUUGCUUUAUUUCUAGUGAUAGCUCCAUGUUCAUCCAUCUUGUUCCUGUACACCCACUUGGUUCCUAUGAUAUUCAUCUCAUGNNNNNNNNNNNNNNNNNNNNNNNNNNNNNNNNNNNNNNNNNNNNNNNNNNNNNNNNNNNNNNNNNNNNNNNNNNNNNNNNNNNNNNNNNNNNNNNNNNNNACUUUAUUGUAUUCAAACUGGUUCAGCUCUUCCUGCAUUGCUGUUAUCCAAUUGCUGUCUUGCAGUGCUUCUUCUAGAUUUUUAGGCUCAAUCUGUGACACAAAAGCCACUGUUCUGCAAAAAUUGUUGAGUGAAUUCCUUGUUGAGACUCCUUUCUCAAUAUUACCAAUUACAUUGUCAAGAGUGAGAUCCCUUGGAGUCUUCCAUUCUUUAGGCAAACCUGCAUUCACAGUAGAUUCUUUGAUAGAAUUUGAAUUAGUUGCAUCAAGCUCACUAGAUUGAUUCUGUUGCAGAAUGGUUCGUAAAUCAUCCAUACCAGGUUCAUCCAGAACAGAUUUGGGCACAAAAAAAUCUGUUUCAUCAAACACAACAUGUAUAGAUUCUUCAACUGCAAGCAAUCUUUUGUUAUACACUCUAUAAGCAUGACCAUUUAUUGCAUAACCAAUAUGUAUUCCUUCAUCUGAUUUAGGAUCAAAUUUCCCCAAAUUAUCUUUACCAUUAUUUAAAACAAAACACUUGCAGCCAAAUACCCUAAGAUGACUAAUGCUAGGCUUCCUUCCUUUAUACAAUUCAUAAGGAGUUUUCUUAAGAAUUGGUCUAAUCAAUGUUCUGUUAAGCACAUAAGAAGCAGUAUAUACAGCAUCAGCCCAAAAGUAUUUAGGUAAACCAGAUUCAUUUAGCAUAGUCCUAGCUAACUCUUCUAGUGAUCUAUUCUUUCUUUCAACAACACCAUUUUGUUGGGGUGUCCUAGGAGCAGAAUAACUAUCUGUUAUCCCAUGUUUUUCACAAUAUUUAUCAAACUUAGCAUUAUGAAAUUCUCCCCCAUGAUCACUACGAAUCUGUUUUAUCCUAUUUUCAUUUUCAUUAUGCAGAACCUUAGCUAGUUUCUUAAAGGCUUUAUAUGCAUCAUUUUUAGAAGCAAGAAACAAAGUCCAUGUAUAUCUUGAAAAGUCAUCAACAAUCACCAAAGCAUAGUAAUUUCCAGCUAAGCUAGCAGUCCUAGAUGGUCCAAACAAAUCCAUAUGCAAAACAUCCAAAGCUUUAUUUGUAGAAACCAUAUCUUUUGAUUUAAAAGAAGUUUUAAUCUGUUUUCCUUUUACACAAGCAUCACACAAUCUGUUAUUUUGAAAUUUUAUGUUUGGUAAGCCAGAAACAAGAUCCUUAGACUUUAGUUUAUUCAAGUGAUUUGUGUGAAUGUGAGCUAGCCUUCUAUGCCAUAACCAAGAUUCAUCACUUUUAGAAAGCAAACAUUCAUUUUCAGAACAGCUAUUCAUAAUAUCUAAGAGAUAGAUGUUGUUUACCCUUUUUCCAGUGAACAGCACCUUACCAGAAAUUUCGUUUGAAAUUGUACAAGUGUUGGCUUCGAAAUUGACCUUGUAUCCCUUGUCACACAGCUGGCUAAUGCUUAGAAGACUAUGUUUUAGCCCUUCAACAUACAAUACACUCUCUAUAGUAGUUGAGCCUUUAAUACCAACAUCUCCUCUUCCAAGAAUUUUUUCUCUAUUGUUGUCCCCAUAUGUGACAUGUCCUUCAGCUUUGAGUUUCAGAUUUAUAAACUGAGUCACAUCACCAGUCAUGUGCUUUGAGCAACCACUGUCAAGGUACCACUGGUUUUUCCUGCUGUUUUUCUGCAACAAAACAGAUUCAGAACACAUGGUACCCCUUUAGUCUAGGGUCCAGCAUGAUUAAUACCUUUCCUUAGGAAGCCAUUUGGCCAAUCCUUUAGGAACUAGGUACCUCCUAGCUUUACAUGUUCUAGAUACAUGACCAGAUUUCAUACAAUAAAAACAUGUUGCAGUAUGCAUUGUUCUUGAAUGAGUAAAAGAGGAAAAACCUGUUUUGGAAGGAACAAAGAAACUUGACAGCUUUUUCACAUUGCUUUUCAUUUCAGAUUUAUAUCCUAGACCAUUUUUAUUAAAAACAACAUUCUGUGAACCUAAUAAGGUCUCAAGAUUUUCUCUUCCUUUAGUGAAAUUUGAAAGCGUUUUUAACAAAUAUUCAACUUGUUUUUCCAGCUUCUUACAAUUAUCACAGGUUUUAAUUGAUGCAUGCAGACAUGUUAAUUCAAGGCUAACUAAUUCAGUUUUAGCUUUGUGCAAUUCUUCUUCAAGAGUUUUAACCUUAGGUUCAAGUAUCCUAUUUACUCUAUUCAAUCUGUUACACAUUAUAGCCAAUCUGUUUGCUUCAUCAUGCGUUUCCUUAAAAGCUAUUAACAGCUGAUCAUAAUUUUCAGAAUCAGUGGAGAAAUCACUUACUGAGUCAGAGUUGAAUCCUUCAUCAUUCACCAUGAAGCACAUAUUUGCUUCUUCACUUUCAGUUGAGGAAUUACUAGAUGAGGAUACAUCAUUUUCUUCCCAUGAUAUGUAUGCUCUUCUACCUUUGCCUUUGUCACUCUUCUUGCUUGCUGAUUUUUCUUUAUUUUGAUUGUUUGGACAAUCAGCUUUUAUAUGACCUGGUUUACCACAUCCAAAGCAAGUGUAAUUGGAAGAAUUUGAAUCAUUAGGUUGUUUGGAGUACCUCUUUCUCUGCUGAGUUCUGUCACGGUUUUUCUUUCUAAGAAACCUGCUGAAUUUUCUGGUGAGCAGACUCACGGUCUCAUCAUGUUCAGGAUUAGCUUCUUCCUCACUUGUAUCAUGUUCCAAGGUAGUUUUCAGAGCAAUUCCUUUGGCUUUCUUCUCCACAGUUUCUUGUUCUUUCAAUCUUUUCAGCUCUAUUUCAUGCUCUAUCAACUUUCCAAAGAGUGCAGCAGUGGACAUCUUGAAUAAAUCUUUGGAUUCUGAGAUUGCUGUUACCUUAGGCUGCCAGCUCCUAUCAAGACAUUUCAGCACCUUUAUGUUGAGCUCUUCCUUGUCAAAGACUUUACCAAGACCAGUGAGAUGAUUUACAAUGUGUGUAAAUCGUUUCUGCACAUCUGCAAUACUUUCUUCAUAUUGCAUUCUGAAUAGCUCAUACUCUUNNNNNNNNNNNNNNNNNNNNNNNNNNNNNNNNNNNNNNNNNNNNNNNNNNNNNNNNNNNNNNNNNNNNNNNNNNNNNNNNNNNNNNNNNNNNNNNNNNNNCAUGAGUUACCACUAGUACCUCCCACAUCUCCUUAGCUGAGUUACAUUGAGAGACUCUAAAGAACUCAUCCAUAUUCAGUGCAGAGGUGAUGAUAUUCUUGGCUAAGGAGUCAUAUUGAGCCUUCUUCCUCUCGGUUUCACUCCAUUCAGACCAAGGCUUCUUUAUUGUUUCAUCUUUGACAACCUGCAUAGGUAUAAAGGGUCCACUAACCACUGCAUCCCAGAUUCCCAUGUCAAUAGACUCCAUAAAGAUCUUCAUCCUGAUUUUCCAGAAAGCAUAGUUAACACCACCAAACAUAGGGGGUCUAUUAAUGGAUGCACCUUCAGCAAAAGGCAUUUUAAACUCAGACAUCAUGCAUACACUUGAGCAAAAUACAAGCCCUAGCUCUGAUACCAAUUGUUGGGUCUAUUAGUGUCUAAGUUCAAGAGGGGAGGGGUGAAUUGAGCUUAUAAAAUUUUCGCAAGAACACACAAUUUUCAGUAUUCCAGAGGCAAAAAGAACAGAUUGUUUUUACAUGAAACAGAUUGAUUCUUCAGAGCAGUCUUGCACAAUUUGAAUUUGUUCAGCUUAGAAUUGUGAUUAGAAAGCUUUAACACAUUAGGAAGAACAGUUUUUAUUAAACCCAGAAUUAACAGAUUCAAUUUCAAAAGAACAGAUUUAGGUCUAGCAGUUGCAAGGGACGAGGGAGGGUACUGCAUAAGAAGAAAAGGCACACAAGUUUUUAUACUGGUUCACUCAUACAGAGCUACAUCCAGUCUCACCUUACCCCAAGGUGGAAUUCACUAAAAACAGUACCAAUUUACUUACAAACACAACAGUUCUUGAACCCUACAAGAACCACACAAUCAAUGCUGAAAAACCCUAUUUCAGCACACCUUGCACUCCAAGAAACCCUAUCAAGGAGUGACUAACACUUACACCUUUACNNNNNNNNNNNNNNNNNNNNNNNNNNNNNNNNNNNNNNNNNNNNNNNNNNNNNNNNNNNNNNNNNNNNNNNNNNNNNNNNNNNNNNNNNNNNNNNNNNNNNNNNNNNNNNNNNNNNNNNNNNNNNNNNNNNNNNNNNNNNNNNNNNNNNNNNNNNNNNNNNNNNNNNNNNNNNNNNNNNNNNNNNNNNNNNNNNNNNNNNNNNNNNNNNNNNNNNNNNNNNNNNNNNNNNNNNNNNNNNNNNNCUUUUCUUUAUAAAGAAACCAGUUUCUAACUUCUUUUCAAAAAACAGUUGAAAAGCAGUUAUGAAAACAACAGAUUUAUUUUUGAACUCAACAGGUUUAUUUUGUGAAAAAAACCGCCAACUCAGCUAACUGAAAUAACUGUCUGAGUUGUACCUUUGGUGCCCUAACUGAAUUUUAGAAAGGCCUUUUCACAGAGAAGAAAUGAACAGAUUCUUUCUCAAUAAAACAGAUUUAUUUUUGUACUUGAUUUAAAAUCCUUUAAGAGCACUUUUAAAAGCUUUUCAAAAAUCUUUUAACAGAGAAGAAAUAAACAGAUUCUUUCUCCAUGAAACAGAUUUAUUUUUGUACUGAUGUAAAACUUUUAAGAUUACUUUCAAAAGCUUUUCUGAGCAGACGACGAUCGUAGAUGGCAAUGCUCCACAUGAUCGCCGGUCGGUGGUCAGCAAAGCAGUCAAAAAAUGAUGCAUGAUCGCCGGUCGGUGGUCAGCAUAGCUACUUGAAAAGGUGGUGCCUGAUCGCCGGUCGGUGGUCAGCAUAGCUACUUGAAAAGGCGAUGCCUGAUCGCCGGUCGGUGGUCAGCAUAGCUACUUGAAAAGGCGGUGCCUGAUCGCCGGUCGGUUUGAGGCAGAACACUUUCAAAAGCUUUUCAAAAAACCAUUUGACCACAUCAUGUGCUUGAUCUAGACUUGGUUAGGCAUCUAGGAUGGGUUAUACAGCAAAAGGCAACCUUCCACAUUACAAGCCUAAUUACAAACCAAUCUAAAAACCUAUUACAAUCUUCAAAGUACCCAAGCUAUUUUCUUCAUCAAACACACAUCAAGCCUUGGUAGGGAAGAAGCUUCCUCCAGCUUCAACAGUUUAUACCAGCAACAGAAAUAGAAUUAACACAAACAGUUAUAAGGAGUUAGAGAUAGAGAGAUUUACACAAUAGUUUCAUACUGGUUCACUCAACCUUGAGCUACAUCUAGUUCUCAAAACAACCUCAGAGUUCCACUAGUAAUCAGAUCCAGAUUACACCAACACAUCACAAAGAGGUGACCUUGAAAACCACAAGACCUACCUCACCCUCUUUGCAACACCACACACCUCAAGUCAGAACACCCUCUAACAUUGCAGGAUUUCACACACACUUACAAUUAAUGAAAGUACAAUUACACGAACCUUGAAAGGGAUAGAAAACACCUGAGAUUAUACAAAACAGGAAGCCCUAUGAUCAAAUCUUGUCCCAGUGCAAAGCUUUAAUAGCAAUCUUGCAAAUCUUUUGAAACUUCUUUCAAAAAAAAAAUCUCAAUCUCUAUUUCAAACUCUUUAAAACUUGGUAUUUUUUUUUGAAAGAAAGGCUAUAUUUAUAACACUUGAAAACUAGUCAUUCAAGGCAACAUUAAUGAGCUAAAACAAUUUUGAUCACAUUCAAAACAGUUAAAACAGGUUUUCAAAAAACUGUUAUGAAAGCACACAAUCAACCGGUUGAAAUCACGAUUUAACUGGUUGAAUUGGUUAGGCAGUUACAUAACGAAGUCAAAAACAAUUUCAAAACCUUUAAGACAACUAAGUGACAAACAACCGAUUAUAUCGAUAAUUCAACUAGUUUCAAAGUCUAUUUACCUAUUCGUUUUUGGGGAGAUUUUGUUUUAACUGCGAUUUACCUCAUUAACCGCUUACCUUCCCCCAUUCGGUUAGAUAAAACACCCUUCAACUAUUAUACAACCAAGUUUCAUCUGUUACACGUUUACGGAUUUUCAGCAACCUAAGUUAUGCAACAGUGAAUCAUCCCAAGCACAAAUUUGACCCCCGCACUCGAUGGUGCGUCUUUAUUGGAGUAGGGACGUGGUUUUUCAUGAAACCAUUUUUCCUUUUCAUGAAACAACAUCACUCACACACUCUUCUAUCCUACCAAAUUUGGUCCUUGACUUAGACCAUCAAAAUUGUACAUUUCAUACAACACUUCCAAACUCACAAUCUGGUUCACCAACUUCGCCUAGUGAGCCACCCAUUGAGCCUAUGGCCACUGAAUCACCCACACCUAAUUAUCCCUGAUAUUUCUACACAACCACUUAGACAUUGUACACGUCUCAAGCAUCCUCCUGCAUGGCAUAAAGAUUAUUUGCUGCCACCUCGCGCAAAUCACUCCAGCCAAGGUUUUCUCCGAGGUACACGAUACCCACUUUCUCAUUUUAUUUUUUAUUUCAACUUAUCUUCUACUCAUUGUACUUUUUUAGCUAACAUUUCUACACUAGAGAGCCUUCAUCAUAUGAUCAGGCCAUUCUUCCUCCCAAUUGGAAGGAAGUCAUGGAAUCUGAAUUAUCAGUAUUAACAGAAAACAACAUCUAGAGCAUUGUUUCAUUAUCAGUUGGCCACAAACCCGUAGGAUGCCAAUGAGUUUAUAAAAUAAAAUACAGGUCUGAUGAGAGCAUCGAACGAUAUAAGGUGUGCUUAGUCACCAAAGGCUAUACGCAAGUGGGAGAGAUGGACUAUAUUGAGACUUUUUCUCCUACCAACUUGAAGUAAAAAAUGUAUUUUUUGCAAAAUGACCUUCAUGAAACUUUGUACAUGGAGCUUCCUCUCGAAUUUCGCCGAUAUGGAGAAAAUCUGGUUUGUCGGCUUAUAAGUCCUUGUACGGAUUAAAAGAAGCGUCCCGAAAUUGGUUUGCUACUUUCUCUAAGGUUAUUUAAAAGGUAGGAUAUAUUCAAUCAAAAGCAGACUAUUCUUUAUUUACCAAGAUCGUGGAUUAAAGUCAAGUCCCUUCAGUGACCAAAGAAGUUUUAACCAUUACACUACACAAAUUUUUAGUCAUAUUAUGAUUUUUAUUAUAGUUAUUAUUAUUAAUAUCAUUUAUAUUAUUAAUAUUAUUCAUAAUAUAAAUAUUAUUAAACCUAUUAAUACUAUUAAAUGUUAUUUAUAUUAUAAACAUUAUUAAUAUUAUUAAAUAUUAUUAAUAUUAUAAACAUUAUUAAUAUUAAUAUUAAUAAAAAUUAUUAAUAUCAAUAUUAUCACUAAUAUCAAUAUUAUUAUUAUUACAAUUAUUAAAAAUAUUUUGUAUGUAAAACUUUAUAUACGGAUACACUCCGUAUGUAUUUUUUUUAUAAUUUUAAUAUUAUAAUUUUUUGUUUAAUUAAAUUAAAAGAAAUAAUUAAACUCAAAUUAAUUUUCUAAUUUAAUUAUAACAACAUAAUAAAUCUUAAAAUUAUUUCAAUUCCCUAUAACCUUCUUUUAUAUUUUAAUUUUAAAUUUUUUUAAUUUUAGUUUUUUCAUUGCUUUUAAUUCCCAUAAAUCCAAAUUUUUAUGUAAAAAUCUGUAUGUAAUGGUCACUUUAUAUAUGAAUCUGGAUCCGUAUGUAAAAAUCGGUAUGUAACACUUACUUUACAUACGAAUCUGGAUCCGUAUGAAACAAUCCGUAUGUAAUGCUCACUUUACAAACGAAUUUGAAUAUGUAUAUAAAAGUACGUAUGUAACGCUCACUUUGCAUACGAAUUUAAUGCUUACUUUACAUACAGAUUUGGAUCUGUAUGUAAAAAUCGGUAUGUAACACUUACUUUACAUAUGGAUCCAAAUUCGUGUAAAAAUCCGUAUGUAAUGCUCACUUUAUAUAUGGAUUCAGAUCCGUAUGUAAAAAUCUGUACGUAACAUUGACUUUAUAUACGGAUCCAAAUCCGUAUAUAAAAAAACCGUAUGUAGUGCUCACUUUACAUAUAAAAUUUGAAUCCGUAUAUAACACUACAUGAAAAUCAUGAAAUAGAAACUAAUUUUUAGAGAUUAAAAAUAAUUAGUUGCUAUAGUGACUAAAUUAGAGAUCAUUUUUUAGACUAAAAAUUUUUUGGUUUCUAAAUUAGUUUUUAUUAUUGUUAAAUGGUUUCUAAAUUGGUGUCUAAUUAUCAACCUUGGUAGCAAAAACCUUAGUGGCUAAUUAAACACUAAUUUAGAAACUAUUUAACAAUAAUAGAAAUUAAUUUAGAAACUAAAUUUUUCUUAGUCUCUAGAAUGAUUUCUAAUUUAAUCACUAUAGCAACUAAUUAUUUUUUAUAUUUAAAAAUUGGUUUUUAUUUCAUAAUUUUCUUAUAGAGUAAUAAUUGAGAUGUAAAUAGCAAAUUUUUUAACAGUAGAGCACAACUGAAGUAUGAAUCUAGCAGAUAACAAGACAGGGAAACUAAAUUAGACUAUAAACAGUUGAGAUUCGGACACAACCUUAAAACAUGAAAUGGAACUUAGAAGAUGGAAACAACCUCAAAACAAGAUAUGAAAGUGGAACAUGUUCUUAGCAGUUCCUGGUGGUUUCAUUACAGUGUUUGUUAGGGCCACCACCGUUUUGGGAUGGCAGGCAGCUGCGGUAAGCUUGCGCUUUUGGACAAUCUACAGCUUGGUUGUUUUUGUUGCCUGUGUUGCUAGGCUCACAUCGUAGAGCAUUCUUGACGUAUGAGACCCAAAUGAAAAUUCUGUUUCCAAAGCGUUGCCGAUGAGGCAAUCCUCUGUGAGACAGUUGGUGGCGUUGACAAGGUUGUGGUGGAUGAGAAGGAUGAGGAGCACAAGGGAGAGACCCUUCAUCAUCUUUUCGGAACUGAUUUCUCACUCAACAAACAAGAUUAUGGUUCAGAGU
Molecule: long non-coding RNA, 29811 nt
Filed under: Phaseolus vulgaris (common bean)
Lineage: Eukaryota; Viridiplantae; Streptophyta; Magnoliopsida; Fabales; Fabaceae
Description: long non-coding RNA (PVUL_LNC003305)
Source: RNAcentral